GGAAAAACCACUUUAGUCCAUUAAUCUACACAGAAAAACAUCACUUUUAAGCGAACUGCUUUAUUUGGUCCCAGAAAAGCAGAGUUUUCACCCUUGUUCUCCUGAUUUGUAGCUCAAAUACCUUCAUGGCAAUGUUAAACUACAGGAGCAGCCAGUUAAAGAUAACUUCAGGAGAAUUGAAGAAAACCAACCGUUUAAAGAGUUAAAACUCAUUUAAACCUUCAGUAAAGUUCAAGUCAGACAAACUCAGAUUCAUGGUUUACUUUGGUCACAAUUCCAGUUUACUAGAUCAGCUGAGAACAGAACUCCAACCAAGGAAGGAGAGGUCUAGGGUUUAAUGGUCAGAACAAAUUCAGUAGAACUACUCAUCUACACAAGACGCUUUAGAGUCACUUUACUGUCAGGUUCUUCACUAUAGCUGCAUUUGGUCCCAGACACGGUGUCAUUUGUUCCAGGUCAUCCUCCAUUUUCUUACCUCUGAGCUGAUAAGAUGCAGGAGAAACACCUGAGAGACUUUAAACUACAGCAGCCAGAAUUAUUGGAACGGCUGCUUGAUAGUUUAAGAAAACCAGCUGUUUAAAGUCAAACUAAACCAGUUUAAAUCAAUGGCGUUAAAGUCAAGCACAGAUACUCAGAUUCAUGUUUACUUAAGGUUUAUUAAAGGUUACGUCGUAGUUUCUUGGAGGUUCUGCUGAUCAGUUCCACCUGCAGAAACAAAGAAACACAGCAGUUAGUCCCUGAACCAGCAGCUUCUUCUACACUCCAUGUUCCAGCUGCUUCUUACCUCCUUAGACCUUGGUUCCGGUUCCAGGUCCAGGUCCUUGGCUGGGAUCUCCUGGGUUCACCGGAGAGAAAAACGGGCCAAAGUCAUCUGGGGAGUAUUUAGAGUGGGAGAGGAGUUCUCUGGCUCGCUGGUAGCCGUUACUAGACUGGACGAUGUAGGACGUAGGACCACGAACAACCAAUGGGAAGGGGUCGGUGGGAAUGUUAUCAGGGAUCCAGACUGAGGGGUCUGGGAGACGGACAAACCUUGGUCUCAAGUCAUUUAUAUCGUAGGAGAACCCCUGUGGGUAGUUAAUCAAAGGAGUAAAUCCUGCAGAUCCAAAGGGCAAAGAACUGCUGAAGAAACCAGAGCCUCCUGAACCACCAGAUCCUCCAGAACCACCAGAUCCCCCAGAACCACCAGCACCAGCUCCUCCACCAGCUCCUCCAGUUCCUCCACCAGCUCCUCCAGAACCUGUUUGACCUGAAUCCAGACACAAACCAACAUGUUCACGGCUCUGAUCCACUCAUGUGGACACCAGCAGCUAAAUAAAUCCACAUCCAGCUGCUGGAGCUGCCUUCAGACACGUUGGGCUUCAUUUAAAGCUGCUUCAGGUCAACAUGUCUGCAGACUCACCUUUAAUUAGAAAAGGGUAACAAGCUCCAGAGCUGAGGAGCAGGAAGCAGAUCCAGAAGACCCUGUGGAGAGCAGAAAGCAGCCUGUAAAUAGCAGCACAUGGAAGCCCACCUGCAGCAUGAAGCGCAGCAGCUCACCUGAGAACAGAUUCCAGCAGCAUGUCCAGCUGUGAGAAGAAGCCGAGGCCACAGAGUUCAGCUCCAGCAGCCUCCUCACUGCUGAUCAACCUGCUGGAGCUGAACUCUGUGGCCUCGGCUUCUUCUCACAGCUGGACAUGCUGCUGGAAUCUGUUCUCAGGGUCUCCUGGAUCUGCUUCCUGCUCCUCAGCUCUGGAGCUUGUUACCCUUUUCUAAGUAAAGGUCAAACAGGUUCUGGAGGAGCUGGUGGAGGAACUGGAGGAGGAGCUGGCUCUGGUGGUUCUGGGGGAUUUGGUGGUUCUGGAGGCUCUGGGGGAUCUGGUGGUUCUGGAGGAGCUGGUGGAGGAACUGGAGGAGGAGCUGGCUCUGGUGGCUCUGGGGGAUCUGGUGGUUCAGGAGGCUCUGGUUUCUUCAGCAGUUCUUUGCCCUUUGGAUCUGCAGGAUUUACUCCUUUGAUCAACUACCCACAGGGGUUCUCCUACGAUAUAAAUGACUUGAGACCAAGGUUUGUCCGUCUCCCAGACCCCUCAGUCUGGAUCCCUGAUAACAUUCCCACCGACCCCUUCCCAUUGGUUGUUCGUGGUCCUACGUCCUACAUCGUCCAGUCCAGUAACGGCUACCAGCGAGCCAGAGAACUCCUCUCCCACUCUAAAUACUCCCCAGAUGACUUUGGCCCGUUUUACUCUCCGGUGAACCCAGGAGAUCCCAGCCAAGGACCUGGAACAGGAACUGGAACCAAGGUCUAAGGAGGUGGAACUGAUCAGCAGAACCUCCAAGAAACUACGAAGUAACCUCUAAUAAACCUAAAGUAAACCAUGAAUUUGAGUUUGUGUCCUUAAACUCCAUUGAUGAUUUAAACUGGUUUAGUCUGACUUUAAACAGCUGGUUUUCUUUAAAGGAUCUUGAAGCAAUGUUUCAAUAAAUCUGGCUGCUGUAGUUUAAAACUUGCUGGAGCAUCUCAGGUGUUUCUCCUGCAUCUUGGCUCAGAGGGAUAAUUGAGGCUGAUCUGGAACUUGUUUAGGACCAAAUGUAGCAUAAUUAAAGCAACUGAGGGUAAAGUGACUAAAGCAUGUUGUGUAGACCGGUGUUCCCACUGAUGCUGACCAUUAAAUACUAGAAUCCACCUCCCUUGAUUAGGGUACUAUCAGCUAAAUUUAAUAAAUCUGAAUUUUGUCCCUCGCCUAAAGUUUAGUUUGGCUUCAAGAGAACAAUCGCUUGAUCUUGGAAAAUGGUUUGUCCCCACCUCCCCCACCUGACACCAGGUAGUGGCAGAUUCUCUUCCACCAAGUGUGCUGCAAAUGGCUAUUGGAUGAAUUGUCACAUGACCAGGUGGGAGUAAU
Molecule: long non-coding RNA, 2876 nt
Organism: Amphiprion ocellaris (clown anemonefish)
Lineage: Eukaryota; Metazoa; Chordata; Actinopteri; Pomacentridae
Source: Ensembl